GAAUUGCAUGACGAAUUGGAAUUCAUUGAGCGUACAGCUGCCAAUAAGCAACAACUCCAAAAGCUAUCUGAUAUGGUUGCAGGAAGCUAUAUUGAACAUCCCUCGUGGAAUAACACGGCUAAUGGAUAUGCUCAUGGAUCGCGAGGUUGCCUAUUGAUCCUCAUUUUGAAAGAAAGCUUGAAAUAUAAUAAUCAAAGUUUACCUCCAG
Molecule: long non-coding RNA, 208 nt
Organism: Arachis duranensis
Lineage: Eukaryota; Viridiplantae; Streptophyta; Magnoliopsida; Fabales; Fabaceae
Exons: 3
Source: RefSeq, a predicted model, not a curated record